Molecule: small RNA, 28 nt
Filed under: Bombyx mori (domestic silkworm)
Lineage: Eukaryota; Metazoa; Arthropoda; Insecta; Lepidoptera; Bombycidae
Description: ovarian small RNA-11783
Source: RNAcentral
AGAAGGGUCUGGGCGUGAGCCCGCUUGG